GGAUAUGGCUCAGUUGGUAGAGCGCACCCUUGGUAAGGGUGAGGUCCCCAGUUCGACUCUGGGUAUCAGCACCA
RNAcentral lists this transfer RNA (74 nucleotides) under Salmonella enterica subsp. enterica serovar Dublin. RNAcentral's name for it is "tRNA-Thr". It matches the Rfam family "tRNA". Rfam says of the family: Transfer RNA (tRNA) molecules are approximately 80 nucleotides in length. Lineage: Bacteria; Pseudomonadati; Pseudomonadota; Gammaproteobacteria; Enterobacterales; Enterobacteriaceae. The record is from RNAcentral.